AGAUAUGCUGAUUUUUUUUAAAUCGGGACUUGAAAUCCGGUUCUCCACUGGGGAGCGGGGGUUCAAAUCCCUCCCUCU
RNAcentral lists this transfer RNA (78 nucleotides) under Methanococcus maripaludis. Its description in RNAcentral is "tRNA-Ser". Lineage: Archaea; Methanobacteriati; Methanobacteriota; Methanococci; Methanococcales; Methanococcaceae. The record is from RNAcentral.